Acanthosepion pharaonis is the source of this 108-nucleotide non-coding RNA. NCBI's taxonomy places the organism in Eukaryota, Metazoa, Mollusca, Cephalopoda, Sepiida, Sepiidae. The record is from the annotation of a GenBank genome assembly.
CGGCUACGUCAUGUUGAAACACCGGUUCCCGGACGAUCACUGAAGUUAAGCAACGUAGAGUCUGAUCAGUCUCUAGAUGAGUGACCGCUUAGGAAUACCAGGUACAGU